UGGGGAAUAUUGGACAAUGGGCGGAAGCCUGAUCCAGCAACGCCGCGUGAGGGAUGACGGCCUUCGGGUUGUAAACCUCUUUCAGUACCGACGAAGCGAAAGUGACGGUAGGUACAGAAGAAGGACCGGCCAACUACGUGCCAGCAGCCGCGGUAAUACGUAGGGUCCGAGCGUUGUCCGGAAUUAUUGGGCGUAAAGGGCUCGUAGGCGGUUUGUCGCGUCGGGAGUGAAAACAGCGGGCUUAACUCGUUGCUUGCUUUCGAUACGGGCAGACUAGAGGUAUGCAGGGGAGAAUGGAAUUCCUGGUGUAGCGGUGAAAUGCGCAGAUAUCAGGAGGAACACCGGUGGCGAAGGCGGUUCUCUGGGCAUUACCUGACGCUGAGGAGCGAAAGUGUGGGGAGCGAACAGGAUUAGAUACCCCUGGUAGUCCACACCGUAAACGUUGGGCGCUAGGUGUGGGGUCCUUUCCACGGAUUCCGUGCCGUAGCUAACGCAUUAAGCGCCCCGCCUGGGGGGUACGGCCGCAAGGCUAAAACUUAAAGGAAUUGACGGGGUCAUAGCUG
RNAcentral lists this ribosomal RNA (563 nucleotides) under uncultured bacterium. RNAcentral describes it as "partial 16S ribosomal RNA". It matches the Rfam family "Bacterial small subunit ribosomal RNA", at positions 355 to 932 of the family's 1533-position model. The record is from RNAcentral.